CGGCUCUCUGCCAGGAGAAAAUUGGUUCAGUAGUAUUGAAAAUCAUGACUUCCACAAAAUAUGAGUUUGUCCUCGUAAAAUAAUAUCGAAAGUUAUAAACGUUAACAGACAAUAACAUUCCGUUAUAUUUGUUCACUGAGAUUUUUUUGACCACAUAACAUGGACAUGAAAUGACAUUUCUACCCCUGGGUUCCAAAGACCAACAAAAAUCCUCC
RNAcentral lists this long non-coding RNA (215 nucleotides) under Setaria italica (foxtail millet). RNAcentral describes it as "long non-coding RNA (SITA_LNC002230)". The record is from RNAcentral. Lineage: Eukaryota; Viridiplantae; Streptophyta; Magnoliopsida; Poales; Poaceae.